This 239-nucleotide ribosomal RNA is filed under the name uncultured bacterium. RNAcentral's name for it is "partial 16S ribosomal RNA". It matches the Rfam family "Bacterial small subunit ribosomal RNA", at positions 524 to 762 of the family's 1533-position model. The record is from RNAcentral.
UACGUAGGGUGCGAGCGUUAAUCGGAAUUACUGGGCGUAAAGCGUGCGCAGGCGGUCUGUUAAGACCGAUGUGAAAUCCCCGGGCUUAACCUGGGAACUGCAUUGGUGACUGGCAGGCUUUGAGUGUGGCAGAGGGGGUAGAAUUCCACGUGUAGCAGUGAAAUGCGUAGAGAUGUGGAGGAAUACCGAUGGCGAAGGCAGCCUCCUGGGCCAACACUGACGCUCAUGCACGAAAGCGU